This 577-nucleotide ribosomal RNA is filed under the name Ustilentyloma graminis. RNAcentral's name for it is "eukaryotic LSU rRNA". It matches the Rfam family "Eukaryotic large subunit ribosomal RNA", at positions 79 to 669 of the family's 3401-position model. The record is from RNAcentral. Lineage: Eukaryota; Fungi; Basidiomycota; Microbotryomycetes; Microbotryales; Ustilentylomataceae.
CCUAGUAGCGGCGAGCGAGCGGGAAGAGCUCAAAUUUAUAAUCUGGCACCUUCGGUGUCCGAGUUGUAAUCUCUAGAAGUGUUUUCCGCGUUGGACCGCACACAAGUCUGUUGGAAUACAGCGGCAUAGUGGUGAAACCCCCGUAUAUGGUGCGGACGCCCAGCGCUUUGUGAUACACUUUCAAUGAGUCGAGUUGUUUGGGAAUGCAGCUCAAAUUGGGUGGUAAAUUCCAUCUAAAGCUAAAUAUUGGCGAGAGACCGAUAGCGAACAAGUACCGUGAGGGAAAGAUGAAAAGCACUUUGGAAAGAGAGUUAACAGUACGUGAAAUUGUUGGAAGGGAAACGCUUGAAGUCAGACUUGCUUGCCGGAGCUUGCUUCGGUUUGCAGGCCAGCAUCAGUUUUCCGGGGUGGAUAAUGACGGUUUGAAGGUAGCAGUCUCGGCUGUGUUAUAGCUUUCCGUUGGAUACAUCCUGGGGGACUGAGGAACGCAGCGUGCUUUUUGCGAAAGACUCGUCUUUUUCACGCUUAGGAUGCUGGUGGAAUGGCUUUAAACGACCCGUCUUGAAACACGGACCAC